Molecule: ribosomal RNA, 274 nt
Filed under: uncultured prokaryote
Description: partial 16S ribosomal RNA
Rfam family: Bacterial small subunit ribosomal RNA
Source: RNAcentral
UACGUAUGGGGCAAGCGUUAUCCGGAAUUAUUGGGCGUAAAGAGUGCGUAGGUGGUUACCUAAGCGCAAGGUUUAAUCUUGAGGCUCAACCUCAUUCUGCCUUGCGAACUGGGCUACUUGAGUGCUGGAGGGGAAAGCGGAAUUCCCAGUGUAGCGGUGAAAUGCGUAGAUAUUGGGAAGAACACCGGAGGCGAAGGCGGCUUUCUGGACAGUAACUGACACUGAGGCACGAAAGCGUGGGGAGCAAACAGGAUUAGAUACCCUGGUAGUCCCU